This is a long non-coding RNA of Hordeum vulgare subsp. vulgare (domesticated barley), 2132 nucleotides long. RefSeq lists it as uncharacterized. Lineage: Eukaryota; Viridiplantae; Streptophyta; Magnoliopsida; Poales; Poaceae. The transcript is spliced from 2 exons. The record is from RefSeq and is a predicted model, not a curated record.
ACAAACUAUACCCGCCCCACCCCCACCUCGCCGCCACCCCUCAAAUUAUGAAUGACUUUAAUUAUAAGCGAGGACGCCGAUGAGGUGAAGUUGGAGUCGGAGUCGGGGGAAACUUAUUCUCCAUCCGUCGCCGCUUCAACCGAAGUGUCACUACCUAAAGCAAAAACGUUAAGUGGGACCGAAGCACCAGGGUUUCGUAUGCCUCUUGGUAUCAAAGUGGCAAGCCGACAAGGGAACAAAUGGGUUCGUCACCGUUGAUAAACGAUGGGAAACAUGUCUUCUCCUUUCACAUUGGCAGAGAAGGGAAAAAAGUCCAAUGGACUUCACUGACCUUGGCAUCCCAAUGGACUUCAGCAAUCGACAAACACAUCACUGGCCUGUUGUAUUUUUCUGGCCAAGGAAAAAAAUUAUCCCCACCCCACCUCCACCUCGCUGCCACCAAUCAAAUUAUGAAUGACUUUAAUUAUAAGCGAGGAUGACAAUGAGGUGAAGUUGGAGUCGGAGUCAGAGUCGGGAGAAACUUAUUCUCAUCCGUCGCCACUGCAACCGAAGUGUCGCUGCCUAAAGCAAAGAUGUUACGUGGGACCCAAGCACCAGGGUUUCGUAUGCCUCUCGGUAUCAAUGUGGCAUGUUGAUGGAGGAACUCAUGGGCUGGUCACCGAUGAUAGACGGUGGGGAAACAUGUCUUAUCCUUUCACAUUGUCAGAGAGUGGGAAAAUGUCAAUGGACUUCACUGACCUUGGGUAACUAAUGGACUUCAGCAAUCGACAAACACAUCAGUGACCUCUUAUAUUUUUGUGGCCAAGGAGAAAACAAACUAUACCCACCCCCACCUCGCCGCCACCCCUCAAAUUAUGAACGACUUUAAUUAUAAGCUAGGACGCCGAUGAGGUGAAGUUGGAGUCGGAGUCGGGGAAAACUUAUUCUCCAUCCGUCGCCGCUGCAACCGAAGUGUCACUUCAAAUACGUUAAGCGGGACCGAAGCACGAGGGUUUCGUACGCCUCUCGAUAUCAAAGUGGCAAGUCGAUGAGGGAACUCAUGGGCUGGUCACCAUUGAGAAAUGGUGGGGAAACAUGUCUUCUCCUUUCACAUUGUCAGAGAGGGGAAAAAAGGCCAAUGGACUUCCCUGACCUUAGGUACCCAAUGGACUUCAGCAAUCGAUACACACUCACAUGUAACGUAUUUGUUGUUUAUAAUUCUUCAGCUCAGGGUGAUACAGCGUAGGAGCUGCAUGUAUCACCCGGCUAAGCAGAGCUAGGAUUUUUGGGCAUGCAAUUGUUGGUGAACUCUGGCAAUCUUUGAGAUCUAUUAACAACCAAAAGAGAGAACUAGCAAGCUGGAGAUUUGACCAUCUAAAUUCAUUGUGCUAAUUUAAGUAGUUCUUAGCUAUCAUCUAACACAACCAUUACAAGAUUUAUUGAUAUAGUCCAUUGUUUGCUUUUCGUUUUUUGGCAAAUGGAGCAGAUUAUGAAAUCACAUAUUUCAAUUACUUUUUGGUCUGUCAGCUUGAGUAGUAAUUCUUUAUAGUGUCCGAGUUGUUAUUUCAUAUAGGCUACCUUGCUAUGGUGUAAGGGACUAUAAGAUAUUUCAUAUAGGAGGUCGAGCCUAAAAAAGGCUUUCAUUCAUGAUGGGCCGACCUUGAAGUCUUAAUGAUUACCCUUUCCAACAUGCAACACUCGCGAUGUGGUGCUUAAUCCUGCUAAUUUUUUGUCUAUUAAUUUUUAUGUUUUUUUCACCUUAGAUAUUGUAUUAAUUUCGGUUGGGUUCUAACUAGAUAUGCACAUAAAUAACUUGGUUCUGGGUAUCAUAAAACAAAUAAGGCACAAACCUAGAAGGUUAUUGAUUAUAUGCUGCAACCCAUUUAUUUAAGCUGGUUUUCUUGACACCAUUUUCUAUUGCAGGCUGUUGAAUAUAUACAGUUUUUGCAAGAGAACGAACAGAGUGUGGUUGGGUGAGGUCUGGAUACAACAUCUUACUUUUUGUUUGUUUCCACAAUGACUUUUUCUUUUACUUCCUGCUUUGAUCAAUUUGGAACUAGCCUUGUAGAUCGGAAUAAUUGAAAAUUGAUGUGUAAUAUUAGGUCUGUGAUUGCAGUGUGUAAAAUUGGCCUAUUUAUUCGAUUCUUGUCAUA